Molecule: ribosomal RNA, 497 nt
Filed under: uncultured bacterium
Lineage: Bacteria
Description: partial 16S ribosomal RNA
Rfam family: Bacterial small subunit ribosomal RNA
Source: RNAcentral
GAUGAACGCUGGCGGCGUGCCUAAUACAUGCAAGUCGAGCGAACGGACGAGAAGCUUGCUUCUCUGAUGUUAGCGGCGGACGGGUGAGUAACACGUGGAUAACCUACCUAUAAGACUGGGAUAACUUCGGGAAACCGGAGCUAAUACCGGAUAAUAUUUUGAACCGCAUGGUUCAAAAGUGAAAGACGGUCUUGCUGUCACUUAUAGAUGGAUCCGCGCUGCAUUAGCUAGUUGGUAAGGUAACGGCUUACCAAGGCAACGAUGCAUAGCCGACCUGAGAGAGUGAUCGCCCACCCUGGAACUGGAACGGGGACCUGACUCCUACGGGAGGCAGCAGUAUGGUAUGUUCGGCAGUGGUGGAGAGCCUGACGGAGCGACCCGGCGUGAGUUAUGAAGGUGUCGGGAUCGUAAAACCCUGUUAUGAGGGAAGAACAUAUGUGUAAGGAACUGUACACAUCUUGACGGUACCUAAUCAGAAAGCCACGGCUAACUACGUG